This 498-nucleotide ribosomal RNA is filed under the name uncultured bacterium. Its description in RNAcentral is "partial 16S ribosomal RNA". It matches the Rfam family "Bacterial small subunit ribosomal RNA", at positions 27 to 507 of the family's 1533-position model. The record is from RNAcentral.
GGAUGAACGCUGGCGGCGUGCCUAAUACAUGCAAGUCGAGCGAACAGCUAAGGAGCUUGCUCCUUUGACGUUAGCGGCGGACGGGUGAGUAACACGUGGGUAACCUACCUAUAAGACUGGGAUAACUUCGGGAAACCGGAGCCAAUACCGGAUAAUAUUUCGAACCGCAUGGUUCGAUAGUGGAAGAUGGUUUUGCUAUCACUUAUAGAUGGACCCGCGCCGUAUUAGCUAGUUGGUAAGGUAACGGCUUACCAAGGCGACGAUACGUAGCCGACCUGAGAGGGUGAUCGGCCACACUGGAACUGAGACACGGUCCAGACUCCUACGGGAGGCAGCAGUAGGGAAUCUUCCGCAAUGGGCGAAAGCCUGACGGAGCAACGCCGCGUGAGUGAUGAAGGUCUUCGGAUCGUAAAACUCUGUUAUUAGGGAAGAACAUACGUGUAAGUAACUGUGCACGUCUUGACGGUACCUAAUCAGAAAGCCACGGCUAACUACGUG